UGCUGCAUGGUUGUCGUCAGCUCGUGCCGUGAGGUGUCGGGUUAAGUCCCAUAACGAGCGCAACCCUUAUCGUUAGUUGCCAUCUGGUAAUGCAGGGGACUCUAGCGAAACUGCCACCGUAAGGUGAGAGGAAGGUGGGGAUGACGUCAAAUCAGCACGGCCCUUAUGUCCAGGGCUACACACGUGUUACAAUGGUCGGUACAGAGGGCAGCUACCUGGUGACAGGAUGCUAAUCUCGAAAACCGGUCUCAGUUCGGAUCGAAGUCUGCAACUCGACUUCGUGAAGCUGGAUUCGCUAGUAAUCGCGCAUCAGCUAUGGCGCGGUGAAUACGUUCCCGGGCCUU
This 344-nucleotide ribosomal RNA is filed under the name uncultured Sphingobacteriales bacterium. Its description in RNAcentral is "bacterial SSU rRNA". It matches the Rfam family "Bacterial small subunit ribosomal RNA", at positions 1039 to 1382 of the family's 1533-position model. Lineage: Bacteria; Pseudomonadati; Bacteroidota; Sphingobacteriia; Sphingobacteriales. The record is from RNAcentral.